GGGCCGUUGGCGCAGACUGGUAGCGCACUUCCUUGACAUGGAAGGGGUCACAGGUUCAAAUCCUGUACGGCCCACCA
This 77-nucleotide transfer RNA is filed under the name Acidobacteriota bacterium. RNAcentral's name for it is "Acidobacteria bacterium (mine drainage metagenome) tRNA-Val". It matches the Rfam family "tRNA". Rfam says of the family: Transfer RNA (tRNA) molecules are approximately 80 nucleotides in length. The record is from RNAcentral. RNAcentral also lists the same sequence under 1 other name. Lineage: Bacteria; Pseudomonadati; Acidobacteriota.